AAUCAGUUUCAUCUGAGACGCGCACUAUAACGGUCGAUAAAAUAGGAAUAAAUAAGAAUUCCCUAAAAAAAUAAGUUAAUGCGGUUUUGUUUUUCUUUUUCUCUCAUACUCAAAGUACAUCAGGAGCAAAACUAGUUGUUAAAGAAAAUUAAGUUAUUAUCCCAAAGAAAAUCAAAUAAAAAUUAAGCAAUUUUUUAAUCCCUCUCAAGUUUUAUUUUUCGAAUCUCUGUGUCGGUGAAUGUCCUGUUUUUUGUUUGUAUUUAAGUGCUUCUGCUGCAGGAUAAUUUUUCCAUGUGAUAUACACUGAGUGAAUUAUUUUGUGUGUGACCUAUAAAAAUAAGAACGGAAACGGAACCAAAGAGAGCGCGUAAAAAAUACAUAAUAUUGUUCUUUUUAUAUAUCCUUUAUCCUUACACUUACACCAUAUUGUGCAUAAUUUUUAAUUGUAUAUACAAACGUCAAAAUUUGUUUAUAACAGCAACACAAAAAUAUGUUAUAAAGUGUCACCGUCCUUGCAGUAGCAUCCUUUGAGCAACAGUACCUUCUCAUCAUGACAAGAAUUGUGGAUAUGCUCAUGCCCAAGCAAAUUGAAUUUUGUCUUUAAAUUUCAAACAAACCAAAAAAUAAAAAAGUUCAUCAUCCCACCCCAACGUUUCGUCACAUCAAAAUAAAAAACUAAUAAAUAUAAAAUAACCUACAACCAACAUUCGCAUGAAGGACAUCAUUUUCUUAAAGUUUUUAUUCAUUUUCGAACAAAAUAUCAAAAUAAAAAGAAGAAUAAAAUUCUCACAUAAAUUCUUAAGUAAAAAAUAAAAAAUAGAACAUUUUUGCAACAAGGAUACAUCUCUUCGGGCAAACUAAGAAAAAAGGACACUCGAACAGGCAGCCAAGUUGAGUUGAGUUGAAAGUGGGAUUUUAUUUCAUCCUUGAACACACAUUAUGAGCCGAGGAGUUUUUGUGUCCUGUGUGGUGGGUAGUUGGAUGCCAUCAUCUCCAUCAUCAUCAUCAUCCUCGUCCACAGGUGUUGGAAUACACUAAGAAGUCGAAGGAUACUCUUGUGCUCUAUCCUCUGUCCUCUUUCCCAUCCUCAAAAAGAGAGAUUUCAAGGAGCACUAUACGUCGUCGUCGUCGUUUUCGAGUUUUAAGGAGGAGACGUCGCCGUCACUCGUCUAACUGCUAAAUUCGGGUCUUAAGUGAUUUUCUUUUCUUAUUUUUAUUUCUUACAUUUCAUAGUUCAGUGUGUGGUGUAUUUUUUAUCACCCGUCGUGUUCUUUUAUUUAUUUUGUUUCCUUUUUUUCGGCAAAGUGCGAGCAACGUUAUAUUUUUUCGGUGUAAGAAAUGCCCGAACAGGAUAAUUACGACGAUGAGUUGGUAUCCGGAAAUACAAACCAGCGCAAUUGGCGCGGAAUUCUCAUAGCCCUGCUUGUCAUCAUAAUUGUUCUUGCCCUAAUUGUCACUUCAGUGGUCCUACUGACACCACCCGAUGAGGGGCCACGGGUCAAAGGUCAACGCAUCAAACUACAAGACAUCGUCGAUGGUGUAUACCUUCCCAAGCGUGCCAAUGGAACAUGGAUAAAUGCGGAAGAGUUUAUAUAUCAAGAUCAAUGGGGCAGAAUAAAUCUAUUGAAUGUUGCCAAUUUAUCGGCUCGAGUACUGAUGUCAAAUGUUACAUAUAAAACUCUCGCACCACAUACUUUUUCAAUUUCGGCAGAUAAAAGAUUUAUAUUGCUCGCGCAAAAUGUCGUCAAACUUUUCCGGCACUCGUAUUUGGCUCAGUACACAGUGUUUGAUAUUCAAACGAGUGAAAGCAUUAAAAUCAAAAUAGACGCACACGUUGAUGAAUGGCCGUAUCUGCAUUAUGCACGUUUCACACCAUCUGGCAACUAUCUGAUUGUCGUGUACAACUACGACAUCUAUUACAUUCCUGGACCGCGUUCGAACCAAGUUUAUCGGGUGACAAAGGAUGCAGUUCCAGGCGUAGUCUAUAACGGUAUUCCAGAUUGGCUUUAUGAAGAGGAAAUCCUACACACGAAUCACGCCAUUUGGAUGUCUGACGAUGGCCAUCUGAUGCUUUAUGGUUCGUUUAAUGAUUCAAUGGUGCAUGAACAGCAUUUUGCUUGGUAUGGAACGACAUCGAACGGUGGCAAUGCCAAUGCAUAUUUGUAUCCGGAAAUUAGAUCGUUAAGGUAUCCAAAGCCAGGGACACAAAAUCCUAUUGUCAAAUUACGUGUUGCUGAUUUAGCUGAUCCGAAGAAUAUUCGCAUUCGUGACAUAAAACCGCCUCAAGUUUUGAUAAACGAGGAUCACUAUGUAACAAGUGCGAAUUGGGUGAGUGAAACGGAAAUUUGCGUUGUUUGGCUAAAUCGACCGCAGAAUAUUUCUGUGGUAAGCGUUUGUAAGAGUCCUGUAUUUUUAUGCAUUGAGACUCACCGCAUCAGUGGCGAUGGUCGUGGUUGGGUUGACACAAUUUCAGUUCCUUUGUUUGCAUCAAAUGCUUCGUCCUAUGUCGCAAUAUCACCGUUACGGGAUGGAGCCUCAGGUUAUUUCCGUCACAUAGUGCAUGUGCAUGUGGCAAAGAAGAGAGUCCUUCCGAUUACCCAUGGACGAUAUGAGGUCAAACGGCUACUGCACUGGGAUCAGAUUCAUAAUUUCAUCUAUUAUCUGGGAACCCCAGAGAGUCUGCCAUCGCAACAGCACUUGUAUAGAGUAUCUGCAAUCCCACCACGGCUGGGAGCGCCACUCCAGGCACCCAAUUGUUUGACGUGUCCUCGAAAAGAGAAACCAAACGAAGAGACUCACACGAAGCCCCCACCGAAACUAGUCACGGCCUGGGACGACGAUUGGGAGGACUUAGAGCCGUUGACUUUCCCACCGCCAACACCGCCCGAAGCCGCCAAUGACAAAAAUAGAAAAAGGCCUUCUACGAACAGCAACUUAUCCGGGCCGACAGAAUGUCUCUAUCAUACGGCCAAGUUCCCCAAGACUUUGAGUGCUGAUUAUGUGCUGAUUGAAUGCUUAGGUCCAGUCAUUCCCACAAGCGGGAUUUAUUCUGUUGGCCGAUUUGCCAGUGGCAGGCCAUUGGAACUACUAAUGUCGGUGCAGAAUAAUACCCGGUUGCGAGAGAAAGUCGCCAAGAUAGCAUUGCCACAAAUCAAAACUUUUCCGGUCAUGAUUUCCGGCGGUUAUCAUGCCCAAGUUCGACUUUUCAUGCCACCGGUUUUGCGAGAGGACGAAAUAACUCGGUAUCCUACGAUUUUACACGUCUACUCAGGACCAGGAACGCAGUUAGUAGAGGACAAGUGGCACAUUGACUGGAAUACCUAUUUGGCUGGUACCAAAGAUUAUAUUGUGGUGCAAAUUGAUGGACGGGGAUCUAGUGGGCAGGGCUACCAGUUGUUGCAUGAAAUUUACAAAAGACUAGGAACUGUAGAAGUGUCGGACCAGUUGGAAGUCAGUGAGUAUUUGAGGGAUAAUUUGCACUUUAUUGAUGGCAGAAGGAUGGGUGUAUGGGGUUGGAGCUAUGGCGGGUAUACCUCAGCACUGGCAUUGGCGAGUACGCAGUCAAUUUUCCAAUGCGGAAUUAGCAUAUCACCGGUGACCAAUUGGAAAUUGUAUGAUUCCACAUACGCGGAACGCUACCUAAGCUUCCCCAAUGUCACCGACAACUACAAAGGCUACGAAGAAUCCGAUUUAACAAAAUAUGUUGACAACUUAAGAGAACGGCAAUUUUUGCUUAUCCAUGGCACAGCUGACGACAAUGUUCACUACCAACAAUCGAUGGUCCUAGCCAGAGCACUCACCGCCAAAGGAGUUCUAUACAAACAACAAAUCUAUCCUGACGAGGGUCAUAAUUUAUCGGGUGUUAAAAGACAUCUGUAUAGAUCGAUGACAAGUUUUUUCGAGGAUUGCUUCAAAAAACUGAGCUACCAGAAUGUGACCGAUGAUGGGGUGUCAGGAGAUUUUCUGGACUUUCAUAGAUUCUAUGCAGCCAAGUGAAUCCUGUAAAAAGAAAACACUACUAUAAUACCUCUACACAUACAAAAUACAUUACUAUAUAUCCAUACAAAGCCAAACAAAAAUAAAGGAUUUGAUUGAAAGUGUUGGUACGAUGCGCUGUGAUGGUGGUGGUGGUGGCGUUGGUGAUGAAGUAAAGUGAAGAGUAAAUAUUAUGGAAGUGACGAUACAUCAUCCAGGACGAUAGACAACGACAAGAAGGACUUUUUCGCAAAGUGCCCAAGUACCAACAACAACAAGAGCGAAGCUAACUACAACCCACAUAAACUAUCAUACUAUCUCCACUCUACACACCAAUCCUCCCUAAUUAUAUUAUUUAGGUUCCGCCAGAAUCAAAAGCUGGUCUUGGAAAUGGCGGUGAUAUGCAACAGCAAUAAAAUUUAAAAAUUUAGAUUUUUAAGCAGGUUCACAUUGUAUAAUUUUAAGUUCAAUCUAAAAAAAAAAAAAAACAUGAAAAGAAAAAUGCUCAAGACAACAAAAAAAAAACCGAAAAUGUUUUUAAAAUUUUUAAAAAUGCAAAAUAAUUCAAAAUAAUUAUAAACAAAUCUAUAAAACAUGGUUGUGAAUUCAUGAAAAAAAUAAAAUAAAAACCAAAUAAAGUGACAAAACAAUUACCAUAAAAUAUUAAAACAUAAAAAGAUAAUAUCCUUUAUCAAAAGUUACAAAAGAAAUUGAGAAAUUUGUUUUUAUCGAGUGUUGUCAAAAAACUGAAAUAAAUAAAAGUAUAAAAAUUGAAAUAGGACCAGAGAUGUUAUACCAAGAUAAAUUUUAAAAUAGAUCAAAUGUGUUAAUACAAAAUUUUGCUUUUUCACAACUAAUCCUUUCCCUUCAAACAAAUCUCUUAAAUAUUCUAAAAAAAAAACUUAAAGAACUUAAACCAAUCUUUAUGAUUUUAAUUUAUUUUCAUUUUUAUUGUAUAAGAUAUAAGAUAAAUAUCUCUUACUCUCCUUGGUGAUACUUAAGUGCCAAAAAAAAGAAAACUAAAACAAAUUUAAAUCUUCCCAAGACCUUUAAAAAAUUGUUUGUGUGUUCAUGGGAUUUUCAUAUUUUUAUUUUUUUUUACGGAUGUAGGUAUGUUUUCACAUUUUUCUUAUUUUUACUUUUUGUAGAACAAAAAUUGCAAUGAACAAAGCUAAUAUUUAUCAUGAAAGCGCAAAAAAGAACAUCAACCCCCCAAUUGAAUAUGCCAAUUUUUUGUUUUCGUUGCUUUUUGCACUGCUCAAAUUAAAUCCACCCUACUCAUGUUCAACCCUCAACAUAAAUAAUAGGGACGGAUUAAGUAGUAAGAAUACACAGAGGCAGAGGUGUAAGGGCGAUAGUUGUAAUUUUAUGAGACAUUGUUUUAAUUUUUUUUAAAUAAUGCAAAUUAGUUCGAAAAUCUUAAAAUAUAUACUCUGCAUCUUCGAAAAUUCGAAAAUUCAAAGAUCACACAUCGAAUAUCUUUUUCGAAACUAAAACAAUUUUCAUUUUGUUGAUUUUGCGUAUAAAGAUGACAUUUACCUGGACUUAAGGUGACAUUUCAGUUCUGUGUGAACUAGGGCCAAACUCCACAAAAUUCUCCAUCUAGCUCGGUCCCUAGCUAGAUGUCACCAGUUACGGAAGCUAAAUUUGGUGAGGCCACUUUCAACCUGUUCGCGCCACCUGAUCAGCGGUAUUCCUCUUCUAUGCUGUGAUGUGGAAACAAUAAGGUCACUCGAACACCGCCGCAAUGUUUCAUGUCUUUCUUUGUUCUACCGAUAUUUGUAUAAACAGUGCUCUGUCGAAUUAGCCAGUUGCACUCUCCCCCUCAAACAAUUCAGCCGUAAUACUCGUACUUCUAAGAAUGCUUAUCAGUUUACCCAUGAGCUCAGUUUCGGACGUACUGUCAAAUAUAUUGCUUUCUUAACUCAAAGACACACUGGUUAAAAAUAAAGCUUGAGAAGGCCUAGGCAGGGAUUGAACCCAAUGCCUCUGGCAUAACAGUCCAAUGCACUAACCAUAAAAACAGCGGCAAGGAAGAGUAAUUUUGAGUUGGAUUUCAGCGCUAGUGUUGUUUUUCUGCGUUCAAAGCGGACAAAGUCUUUAACAACCUCAAAGUUACUUGUGUCGAUGGUGACGUUUUGACCGAGGUUUCAGAGUUGUAAGCCUUUUCUUGAUGACAGCAUGUACUUUGUUUUACCAUUUAACGUUUAAACCCAUUUUUGCUGCUUUGCCUCAAUUCUCAGGAAAGACCCAUGGAAUCAUGCUCAGUUUUUCUGAUCAUUUCGAUAUCAUCAACAUAGCCCAGAUAUUGGACAGACUUAUGAAACAUAGUGCUUGUAGUGUUGAGGUUGGAGCUCUGCACUAUAAUUUUAAGGACAACGUUAAAGAAAUCGCAUGGAGCACUGCAAAUUCUCCAUCUUCAUCUGUCAAAAAACAGACUAUUUUAGAAGGGAUGCCACAACUAUGCAUGGCUCUAUACAGAUUGUCCCUGUAGAUGCUGUAAUAUGCGGCCUUGAAAUCGAUGAAUUGGUGGUGGGUGUCAAUUUAAUGUUCUUGAGUUUUUCGAGGAUCUGCCGUAAUGCGAAUAUUUGAUCAACUGGUCUGGAUCCAUACUUAUACAGACCUAUCAGAUUAUUGACGAUGAAGACGAUCUUAAGGUGGUACAGUUUAGAGGGUUCCUUCUUUUUCGAAGACAUAACAUGGUGCGCUUUAAAACCCUAAGAAAUCCCAAAAAUAUUCGAAUUGUAACUUAAGGGCCCUAAAGAAAUUUUAUAAUUUUGUCCUUACUACUCCUUCCCUGGUCAAUAGUCUUAUUUUAUUUUCCAUAAAAAAGCUGAAAAAAUAUCUAGAGGCUAUAGAAGGGUAAAAUAGGGGGUACACGCAAAUAAAAAAAAGAAGGAAAACCUAAGCGUUGUUAAUCCAUGAACGGUUAGUAAAGACUUGUACCAUUAAAUGGGGUUGAACUGUUCGAAAGAAAAGGCGUGAAAGCAUUUGAGUUGCAGGCCUUUUUGUCUUUUUUUCUUUUGCUGUAGCUAUGGUUAAAGGCAUUUAUAGGUAUGUGUGGUUUGGGUUUCGGGGUUGAGGUUGGUUGAUUUUGGAACAUAAAAUAGAAAACAUGAAUUGAAAUUUAUGAAGAACGAACAAACAUCAAUAUACUCGCAUAUAUACCAAACCAUACCGUACACAGUUAUAAUUCUUUUUAUCAUAUACAUUAAAAAUGUUAAUUAUAAUUGGAAUAACCACGUGCGCGUAGGUGGAUAUAUGUACCUUUUAGGUAUAUGUACAUGAGACUCUCUUUUUCGAAAUUUUAAUUUCAUAUUUCCAAAGGCUAUGUGAAAAGAGAUCAUCAACGAUGGCGACGAUAACUUCAAUGGGUUACUUAUUGCUUCAGAACAAAAAAAAGGCCGUCGUAUAAGUGGAAGGUUGUAUUCACAUAAUUAAUCAGUUUUUAUCCUUUUUUUUUUAAUUUAUAUGUAUUUUGGUUUUAGACCUAUGAACACUAAGCUAAUUUUAAUGUCUUUAUAGCUUAAAAAUAUAUUACCCGCAUUUCCAUUUCGUGCCUUUAGAGAAAGUUAGUAAAUUCUUAAAGUAUUUUUCAUUACCCUUUAUUUUGUUUAAAUUUUAAGUCCUUAAUCCACUUGUAGCGAUGUGAAUAUAUUAAUACGUUCCAUAUUUGUGCAUUUUCAAAAAUCUUUGAUAAAUUUUACAUUUGUGUUCUAAAACGUGAUUUUAUAUUUGUUUUCAAAAUAAAAACUGUAGAAUGUAGAUAAAGUGUAAGUCUCCAAGCCAAUUUAAUAGUCCACUUUGAAGAUAAUAUGUGGAACUCAUAUAAUCUGUUUCCCACUUGUCAUAACUUACAAAAUUGUGGAAAAAAGUUAAAUUCGAAAAGAAUGAAGUUAAAAAAUUCACAUUUCACAUCCUUAAGUUUUAACAAAAUACUAUGAAAUAAAUGUUAAACAGUAAAAAAAAAUUGUGGAACGUAUUUUUUAUCCUCACAAAGGUGAACAAGAGAAACAAUUACGAAAAAUAAACUUUUCACUCUUUCUAUCUUUAUCUCUCUCUAUCCCUUUCUACUCCUUUACCUUACACUUAAUUUAAAUUAAAUUAGAUGAUAAAUUGAAAAAAGAAAAUUUAAAAUCAAAAAUUAAAAUAAGGCAAAAUGUCAUAUGCAAAUAUGAAUUAGAUUAACACUGAAAAAUACGUGUGUGUUGUUCUUAUUAUUAUUAAAUUUAUAGCAAAACAAAACAAAAAUAGAGGACAAAAAUAAAACGUUGAUAUAGAGUAAUAAGAAAAUUAGAAAAAUUGUUAAGAACUUUUAAAUUCCAAACUUCCAAUAAAAAUUUCUAUUUUCAUCCUAGAAAUAUGCAAUCAUAAGAAAAUAAACUUAACCUCCCUUUAUUCAUUUAACCCUCUUCACCAAUUUCAACUUUUUAUGAAAAUAAACAAAACACAUAUAUGGAACACACAAGACACGUUGUUGUUAAUAGGAUAAUUGUAAGCAUGCAUGGAAAAUUGCAAAGCAUGAAAAGUUCCCCUAAUUUUUCCACCACUGGCAUUUUCAGUGUCAAAACAAAAAUGAUAUCUACUUUUUAUGGCUUUGCCAUUCUAAUUCUUUUAUAUCCCUCAGCAAAAACAAAAACAAAAAUAUAAGAAACAAAAAAUAAUAAAAACAAAGUAAGCAAUAAAAACUUUAUUCUAACAAAAAUAUUUAUUUAGUAUUAUAAUGAGAGAACACCUAAAAGUAUACCCCGUAAAGCAUAAUACAUAAAAAUAAAAAUGAAACAAGCAAUUUAACUUUUAGAGAAUAAAAUUUAAAAACAAAACAAAAAGAAACACUAUUCAUAAAAAAAUAAAAUUAAAAACCAUGACUGUAAAAUGUGUUAGAAAGUAGACAAAUUAUAUUAAUUUGAUUACUAAAAAAUAAAUUAAAAAAUGUACAUAAAUAAAUUUACAUUUAAACUUUAUAGAAAGAAAAAAUUUAAUAAUAAAGAGAAGAAAACUAUUUAAAAACAAAAAA
Eupeodes corollae is the source of this 8992-nucleotide RNA transcript. It is a transcript of the gene named inactive dipeptidyl peptidase 10, with no coding region annotated. Lineage: Eukaryota; Metazoa; Arthropoda; Insecta; Diptera; Syrphidae. The transcript is spliced from 16 exons. The record is from RefSeq and is a predicted model, not a curated record.